AGGAACCAAACCCCACUGUACCUGAUCUCAGUGAAAUAAAAUGUUUCAACACUUAAAAUAAGAAAUAUGAAUCAGCAACAAGUAAGGAAGUAGUCCCUGCCCCCAAAGAGUUUACAGUCUAAAUCUGAGAAAGCACAAGGUGCAAGGUUGGAGCUGCAGAAAGAAAAAACAUAUGGAACCGAGAGGUUCUUACAAAUCCAAUAUCCCUACCUUUGAUGAAUAUGUCAAACCAGGGAGCUUUGUGAACAGGGAGUUCUCCAGGUGAAGGAGGAGCAAAUACGGGACCCUUGGGGCCUUUUGCAGUCAAAUAUGCAGAGAUGAUAUUGGUGGAGUAAUCAUCUGCAUCUGGUAUGAACACAUUUUGCAAAUAAGACGACAGAGAGGGGGAUGUUAAUCAAGACAACG
Mauremys reevesii (Reeves's turtle) is the source of this 405-nucleotide long non-coding RNA. RefSeq lists it as uncharacterized. The transcript is spliced from 4 exons. NCBI's taxonomy places the organism in Eukaryota, Metazoa, Chordata, Testudines, Geoemydidae. The record is from RefSeq and is a predicted model, not a curated record.